This 844-nucleotide long non-coding RNA is filed under the name Monodelphis domestica (gray short-tailed opossum). RNAcentral describes it as "lncRNA (ENSMODG00000030163.2)". Lineage: Eukaryota; Metazoa; Chordata; Mammalia; Didelphimorphia; Didelphidae. The record is from RNAcentral.
AAUAGAUUAGAUUAUUACAUUAGAAAUAAUUUAAGGUAAGUAAGUAGCGUGGUAUUGUGAUAGAGGUUUCAAACUCAGGAACUGGAAUUAUAGUCUGGGAAAUUGAUUGAGUUUCAUCCACAGCAGGGGAGGGGCCUCAGGGGAUGUUCUGGAACCUGGGAAGAGCAAGAGUUUUCUAUCAGAGAGAGGCAGUUAGCUCUCUCAAUCCUGAGAGCCUAAGGAGAGGUCUGGUCAAGACUUUGCUCCUGAGAAAAAAACUUACAUCUUCCUCCUAGUGAUUGGAUACCCUUCCCCCCACAGAUUCCCACUUGAAGUUGGGAGUGUUAGAGAAUACACCAAGCAGCUGACAAGAUUACCUCUCAGCUCCUGGUGCCCGGGGUCUGAAGUGUGCCUGUGGGGCCAAGACCAGGGCCAUCCAAGCCUGAAUCUCUCAGGGGCCCAAGGCUACCAAGAUCUGUGUUCCCCAACUUGAGGAAGGAGACAAACCCUCUAUUACAGUAUCCGGCUGAUUCCAUGCUAAAAGACAAACUGGAGGAGUUGUGAUAGGGGAAUGAUCCAGAGACCUUGAAGGGCAGAGCCUGGAAGACAUGCAAAGAGCUUACUUAUCUUUCAAAGCCAUUUCAAUUUCUCCCUCAUUCAUGAAAUACUCCCUGAUGACUUUGACCCUCUGAUCUCUCUUCCUUUUGAUGUCCCACUUGAGGAAACUUUAUUGUAUUCUGCCGUAAUCACUUGGCAGGAUUGGAUGGUUUUCAUGGUUGAAAGAGGCGAAGGUCAGUGCAGAGGAAGGGUUCCAUCCAUACUUGACCUGUUGCCAGGCCUGGUAACCUACAUCUAUUACAUCUAA